AUGGCCGUCACGUUCUCCGACCUCCACACCGCCGACGGGCUCAAGGCCCUCGAGGCGCACCUCGCCGGCAAGACCUACAUCUCCGGCGAUGGGAUCACCAAGGACGACGUCAAGGUGUUCGCGGCGGUGCCCGUGAAGCCCAGCGCCGAGUUCCCGAACGCUGCCCGCUGGUACGACACCGUCGCCGCGGCUGUUGCUUCAAGGUUCCCUGGCCAGUCCUCUGGGGUGAGUGCAUCAUCGGCUCCUGCUGCAGCUGCUCCUGCCGCUUCCAAGGAUGAAGAUGACGAUGAUGACAUGGAUCUGUUUGGCGAUGAGACCGAGGAGGACAAGAAAGCUGCAGCUGAGCGUGAGGCUGCCAAGCCUGCAAAGAAGAAAGAAAGUGGCAAAUCCUCCGUCCUCAUGGACAUCAAGCCAUGGGACGAUGAGACUGACAUGAAGAAGUUGGAGGAGGCUGUCCGCAGUGUUCAAAUGGAGGGUCUCACCUGGGGUGCAUCUAAGCUUAUGCCUGUGGGUUAUGGCAUCAAGAAGCUCCAGAUCAUGCUGACGAUCAUCGAUGACCUUGUGUCCGUCGACACUCUUAUUGAGGAAGUGCUUUGCGAGGCGCCCAUCAACGAAUAUGUCCAGUCGUGUGACAUCGUUGCCUUCAACAAGAUCUAG
Molecule: ribosomal RNA, 657 nt
Filed under: Triticum aestivum (bread wheat)
Lineage: Eukaryota; Viridiplantae; Streptophyta; Magnoliopsida; Poales; Poaceae
Description: partial small subunit ribosomal RNA
Source: RNAcentral